UAAGUCAGCCACGAAUAGGCUAUCCCAACUAACGGCGGGAAAGACUCCACGGAGGGUGUAAGACCCGUGUGGGCGCGUGUUAAAGCUGUGUGGGCUCGGCCUCCAUUCCCUGAGAGUCGCGUUGCUUGAGCAUGCAGCGCUAAGCAGGUCGUAAACUCGAUCUAAGGCUAAAUAUUUCCACAGAACCGAUAGCGAACAAGUACCGUGAGGGAAAGUUGAAAAGCACUCUGGAGAGAGAGUCAAAAGACCGUGAAACCGCUCAGAGUAUAAGCCCAUGGCAGCUUGGAAGGCAUAUCGCUAGCGGGGCAUCGGUCUCCCUUCGCGGGGAGCUGGUGUUACCUUGCUUCUGUUGUGGCUCGUCAUGGUAGGGGGGUCAGGUCCACAUCCCGCCGUCGUGUGGAGAGUUCUCGGGUGUGUUGUGGUUUCUCGGUUGGCUUCGGCUUUCCGGGGGGCUCUUCGUACUUGGUUCUCUUUUAGACACGGACGUUCAGACUCAGUUGCAAGACGCGAUAACCAGCCCACCACGGCACGUUGUGAGGUCACCCACAGGCUCGACUUUCGAUUGUGAGCCUUGACGCCGAGCAAGCACAAUGCGUGUCGCAGAGGUUCCUAACCAGGCAAUGGUGCCAGGAUCGUGGAACGACACGCGCUCAAGAGUCAGGUUCGGGCGGAGACAGAGUUCUGGUAUGAUCCUCUUGCGACGAGCCGGCUUCUGGCCGACAUCCGAUGCUCAGGUCUCCCGCAUGUGCCGCGGGAGAUCGCUUUGACGGUCUGGA
This 776-nucleotide ribosomal RNA is filed under the name Gammarus sp. Gsp1_7. RNAcentral describes it as "eukaryotic LSU rRNA". It matches the Rfam family "Eukaryotic large subunit ribosomal RNA", at positions 157 to 623 of the family's 3401-position model. Lineage: Eukaryota; Metazoa; Arthropoda; Malacostraca; Amphipoda; Gammaridae. RNAcentral also lists the same sequence under 2 other names. The record is from RNAcentral.